GAUAAACAGAGUACCCUAGAAAAAUCCCCACUUCUCCUCUCUUUACCUCCAUGGCCGCCGCCUUCCUCCCCAGCCGCACUCCUCCAUGGCCGCCGCCUACUUCCAUGGCCACAUCCUCUCCAGCCGCACUCGUUCCAGCGCUGCCCGCCUCCGACCUCCACUACCGCCCAUAUCUCAUCUCGUCCACAUGCGUCCGCCACCCCACCCAUCUCCCGUACCCCGUCUCGACGGCCUCUACCGCCGUUCUGCCUUCACCAACGCCUGCCACCACAUCCCACCUCCCUCGGCUCAAACCCUCCACCGCACUCCAAGAGGGUCGCCCAGUAUGCGUUGCCGACGCCUCGUGCUCCCUACUGCAGAUCUGGGAAGUCUCCGGUCGCAAAUCCAGCAAGCCGCUGCCUCCUCUUCUGAUGUGACAGCAGCAGUCUCUUCCUCCCCCUUUUCUCCAAGACCGUGGUGGUAAGUCUCAACUAUUGCCAUCCAAAAACAUUAUGCAGGAUCUUGAGUUGUUCACCCACAAAAAAAGAUUCUGAAGUUGUUCAUACAAAUUAUCUAUAAGAAUACUGGUCUCAGGGCAACAAUAUCUCGAUUUUCUUUUUUCUUAGUCAUUUUACCAAAAGAUUUGCCAUAUGAGAGUGACAAAUAAGCGCCAUUUGCACUUGUUUGUAGUGUGUUGAUUUAUUCAGUUUUUAUUUUGCAAUAAAGUGCUUUGUUCUGUCUCCUAUCUAGAAAAUUUUAGGAGCUACUUUUAGGUGUGCUAUUAGCACUUCCAUUUGUUGAUGUCGUUGAAAAACUGAAAAAGGUUUUUCCCCAUAUAGUUGGCCCUUGCUUGCGUGUGCUUACAGGAACUCUAUGAGAAUUAAGAAACUCUCUCGGUCGCUCGGAACUCUGCACCUGGUUGUCUCCUCCGCCUCUUCUCUACCGUACAGCUUCUCCAUAGUGAUGGAGAAACCUCAAGAUCCAAGUGAAGAAAAGAAAGGAAUAUAAGUUUGGACCUGAGAAGGCCACCAUAAUAAACACAUAUGCUGUGAUGAAAUCUGGAAUGAAAAACCUUGAUCAAAGUGGCAAUACUAGUGCAAUCAGCAGCCAGAAAGCACAAAAGCGCCUUAUGCUUUUUGCGAAGAUGAAAGAGCCACCGGAGCGGUUCCUUUGGGGUCAAACUAAUGCUCAUACACAGGAAAAAACCUGGAGUUCACCAGGCUGGCUGAAGUUGUGAGGCUGGGAGGCUGAUGGUGCUGCUACUGGCUGAUCCUUCUUCUUUCAGCUUUUGUUAGUCCUUUCUCAAGCCGUUGGACCACGGCUACUUCCUUAUGUGCUGUUAAUGUAUUAAGUAGUUCCUUCGAAUUUGUAGUAUUAGUUAGUUUGAAUGUGGAAGUACCUUAAUUUUUAGGAACGAAAUGUUGCUUUGUAUGACCAAGGGUUUGAUACCUUAAUCUUUGGAUAAUUAAUUAUGUGAACUGUUGGAUGUGGCGCACAACGA
Molecule: RNA transcript, 1480 nt
Organism: Triticum aestivum (bread wheat)
Lineage: Eukaryota; Viridiplantae; Streptophyta; Magnoliopsida; Poales; Poaceae
Exons: 4
Source: RefSeq, a predicted model, not a curated record